Molecule: long non-coding RNA, 2176 nt
Organism: Mesocricetus auratus (golden hamster)
Lineage: Eukaryota; Metazoa; Chordata; Mammalia; Rodentia; Cricetidae
Exons: 3
Source: RefSeq, a predicted model, not a curated record
UUUAUUUAUUUAUACUUUAUGAACAUUUUUAUUUCUCACUAUGCCCAACAAAUCCUGAAGCCACCAUUGACUUCUGCUGUACUAGAAGUAAUGCCAUUCACCUGCUGCUUCCAUCCCCAAGCUUAAUAUUUUCCAAUCAUUUGUCAUCUCCCUUAUAACCAAUCUUUUGUAUGACAUCCAUAUCCUGCCUUCCACCAGAUUUUUUCCAUUGGAUUGCAUAUUUGGCUUUGUUCAAUUACUUCUUUUUGCAUAUGACAUGCUUUAAUUAUUUUCAACCAAUGAACUAUUUGUCCUUCCAAAUUCCACUUGGCCAUCAUCUCAUUCUGGGUGCUCUUUCUUAACCCCUAAGUCUGGGCCAUAGGUAUUUCCUUAGCAACUGUAGCAACAGGUACCAGGGCCUGCAUUUUGAAACAAAUAUUUACACACCAGCUGCCAGACUAUUCCAUGUAACUUUUAAGAGAAAGAACUCAGUUUUCCUGAGCUGUACUGACAUCAAUAUGGCCCAGACUAAUACAUAACUGAGCCUUCCUACACUGAAUAUAUAUACAGCGAGUGUUUCUUAAAAUGAGUUGUAAGAAAAAAGGUGCUUUCAAUAUGGAAAACCAUUGCCUUACUUGUUUUUACAUGUGGCUAAUUUUUAUAUAUUUGAUUUACAUGAAAUUAUGAAAGGCUUAAUUAAUUAAUCAAGAACCAAGUUACUUUUGAUCGGUAUCUAGUUAGCAUAGUGUUAAUCUAGUGAGCACCCAAAUUACAUAAAAAUUCUAUCCGAUUUAUUCAAUCUUAGAAGAAAAUACGUAUUUUGUAAAUCAAAAUGCAUAAGAUGGGUAUUCCAGAAUAUAAAGAAAUAUUUUUGCAUAUGAAUGUAUUUUAAACUAAAAUAUUAAAGCUAGGGCAAUGAAAAGUUGAUAUGUGCUAAAUAAGUUAGACUUUAUCCAUUACUACCCAGAGCAGAGACUAGGUAAUAUUUGUAUAACAUUAGAGCAAUUGAACUCAUGUGCCAACUAUUUGAAUUUGCCAAAGAAAGGGGAACCCUUAUAAACCUAUGAUUAUUGCCAAACAUCUGUUUUAAGUCUUAAAAUUCUGGUUUUUAGAACUUUAUCUUUCAAAAAGCUCUAGAAACAAAUUAAUAUCAUUGUGGUAAAGGUGUGUAUCAUUUAGAUUUCAUUAUGCAUAAUCUCUUCCAUUGUCUAGAUCAUGCAUUAUUUUUAUGAGCUUCUGUAUGAAAAAUAUUCAUCAGGGCCUCCUACUCAGACCCAAUAUCAAGGGCAAAUAUGUGAACAAGGGAGGACAAAGAGAACUCAGUUGUAGGACUAGCAAUAUAUCGAUUACUUUUGAGUCACUGUGACCGAGUUGCUUGAGGACAUUUUAAUGGAGGAAAGAUUUACUUCAGCUUGUGGUUUCAAAGGAUUCAAUUCAUCAUGAUGAAGAGGGCACAGAAAUAGCUCCCAUUAUGGCAUAUAAGAAGUAGUGAGAGAAGGAGAGUAAAUGCCAGCACUCUUCUGGAUCUCUCUUUUUUCUCUUUUUAUCAGUUCAGAACCUCCUACCCCAUGGGAAAGUACCCUCCACAUUCAGAGUGGCUACUUCUUCUAGUUAAUCUCCAGAGGUGUGCCUCAGUAUUUUUCCGGUGAUUCUAUUCCCACUCAAACUCACAAUGAUGAUUAACCAUUACAAGCAAGGAUCUGGAGAGCUAUUGCAGUGUUUCUGCUAGACGUUGAUCAGAGGGAGAGAAGUCAAUACCUUCGCAGUCAAAGUCUAUUUGGUACACUGUUUGUUUCUUCAGGGAGUCAAUAACCCAAGAACUGAGAACUUGAUCAAUAAAAUCAAGUCUGUAUUUUGUCUUGCCCUGGAUGCCUUUCUACCAACUUUCUACCACAUACAGCUUAUAAAAGACUUAAGAGGUUUUGAAAGAUCCCCAAGCUAUGAGGCACUGCACAGAAUCUACUAAUUGGUUAAACAGAAGCACCAAGUAUGUACCAGACACUGUGACAGGCAAUUCGGAGAAAAUGUGAACCAGCUUUGCUGUUUGAAAUAACACUAAUGCCACUUUCCAAUGCCUUUCUGAAAACCAGAAGAAGGAAAGAACAUAGUUGAUGAGUGCUGCAGGUGUGCUAAGAACCAGCGUUGGGAUCCUGCAUUUGCCAUCUGGUGUAAAUAAAAGAGCCUUGCAGAGAGUGAA